UACGUAAGGGGCGAGCGUUGUUCGGAAUUAUUGGGUGUAAAGGGUGCGUAGGCGGUUUGACAAGUCUGGUGUUGAAGGCAACGGCUUAACCGUUGUUUGGCGCUGGAAACUGUUAGACUUGAGUUUAGGAGGGGGAGCUGGAAUUCCAGGUGUAGGGGUGAAAUCUGUAGAUAUCUGGAAGAACACCGGUGGCGAAGGCGAGCUCCUGGCCAUAGACUGACGCUGAGGCACGAAAGCGUGGGGAGCGAACAGGAUUAGAUACCCUGGUAGUCCACGCUGUAAACGAUGUACACUAGGUGUCGGUCCAAGAGGAUCGGUGCCGUAGCAAACGCGUUAAGUGUACCACCUGGGGAGUAUGCCGGCAACGGUGAA
This 372-nucleotide ribosomal RNA is filed under the name uncultured bacterium. RNAcentral's name for it is "bacterial SSU rRNA". It matches the Rfam family "Bacterial small subunit ribosomal RNA", at positions 524 to 898 of the family's 1533-position model. The record is from RNAcentral.